ACGUUGAUAAUUUCGUUUCAAUUUCCGGUUGGUAACACUUUGGAGCUGUGUACAAUAAUUAUUUAUGCACAAUAAUUGGCAAUGUAGCUUUUCGACAUAUUCCAAUCUAUCUUGGAUCAAGAAGAAUAGUGACCGAGUGACAUAAUGCAAAAAAAUAUAGGAAAGAGGGGUAUUUUUUCAUUUAUCCCUUGGGUCUGUGUCUUCAAAAUGAAAAAAGAUCACACAAACCAAGCAUGAACUAAUCCAAAUACGAAAUUUAGAAUUUAAAAAUUAUCUCACAAUAUUACGAAAAGAUGCAUAGAAGUUGCAUAUGAGACAAAAAAUCGACUUCAAUAUUUCAAUGACAAUUGAGCGAUUAAUCAUGCCGAUUCUACGU
This is a non-coding RNA of Linepithema humile (Argentine ant), 376 nucleotides long. The record is from RefSeq and is a predicted model, not a curated record. NCBI's taxonomy places the organism in Eukaryota, Metazoa, Arthropoda, Insecta, Hymenoptera, Formicidae.